Molecule: non-coding RNA, 452 nt
Organism: Parasteatoda tepidariorum (common house spider)
Lineage: Eukaryota; Metazoa; Arthropoda; Arachnida; Araneae; Theridiidae
Source: RefSeq, a predicted model, not a curated record
CUUGUUGGAAGACAGAUGAAUAAUCCUAAAUGUCAUGCCAUGUUCCUAAUGGAGACUGGAGAGAUCUUACAAAAUCAAAGUUUAGAUAAAACAAAGGAGACAGCAGUUAGAAUUAAUCUAUGAAUUAGCUAUUGAAGCUAGUCGUUCAACAUUAUCAAGUAACAGUGUUCUACAAGACACUGCUGUUACAGUUCCACAUCACACUUUAGAUGUUUUAGCUGAUAUUUCUUAGUAUGUGUAUGAAGCAAGAAAGAUGCCAAAAUCUUUUUUGUGUCAACAUGUGCGUCCAAAAUGGGUAGAAGCUGAAUACCCAAUUUCAAUUGAAUGUCUUCAAGUAUAGUAGUUUUCAUUAAUAUUUGUAUUUUAUAAACAAUAACUUUUUUAUAUGUGGCUCACUUUAUUUGACUAGUAGUAUACCUUAUUAUAUCUUACUUAUUACUAAAACAAAAUUA